Molecule: ribosomal RNA, 406 nt
Filed under: uncultured bacterium
Lineage: Bacteria
Description: partial 16S ribosomal RNA
Rfam family: Bacterial small subunit ribosomal RNA
Source: RNAcentral
AUUGAACGCUGGCGGCAGGCCUAACACAUGCAAGUCGAGCGAGUGGCGGACGGGUGAGUAAUGUAUGGGGAUCUGCCCGAUAGAGGGGGAUAACUACUGGAAACGGUGGCUAAUACCGCAUACCAUCGGAUGAACCCAUAUGGGAUUAGCUAGUAGGUGGGGUAAAGGCUCACCUAGGCGACGAGCCCUAGCUGGUCUGAGAGGAUGAGCAGGCACACUGGGACUGGGAAACGGCCCAGACUCCUACGGGAGGCAGGAGUGGGGAAUAUUGCACCAUGGGCUCAAGCCUGAUUCAGCCCUGCCGGGUGUAUUGAGAAGGCCUUAGGGUUGGAAAGUACUUUCAGCGGGGAGGCGUUACCCGCAGAAGAAGCCCCGGCUUACUCCGGUCCAGCAGCCGCGGUAAUAC